UUGCGGGAGCGAUAGAAACGGCAUCCUUUUUAUGCGUUGGAAGUUCUGUUGUUUGAGUUUAGUACAUACAUUAAACAGAUUGCUUCGUCGUUGCUCUUCUCCGCAAUGACGUAUAAAAAGAUAUAGUGGAUAGCGCGGUUUUUA
RNAcentral lists this small RNA (144 nucleotides) under Flaviramulus basaltis. RNAcentral's name for it is "Flavo-1 RNA". It matches the Rfam family "Flavo-1 RNA". The record is from RNAcentral. Lineage: Bacteria; Pseudomonadati; Bacteroidota; Flavobacteriia; Flavobacteriales; Flavobacteriaceae.